Molecule: microRNA precursor, 79 nt
Filed under: Lytechinus variegatus (green sea urchin)
Lineage: Eukaryota; Metazoa; Echinodermata; Echinoidea; Temnopleuroida; Toxopneustidae
Description: mir-4847 microRNA precursor family
Rfam family: mir-4847 microRNA precursor family
Source: Rfam by way of RNAcentral
UCACCUCAUAAUGAUGGCGCGGUGCGGUGCGAUGAAGAACUCAUAAAUUUCGCGCUCAUUCGCCAUCAUUUUAAGGUGU